CCUACGGGAGGCAGCAGUGGGGAAUAUUGCACAAUGGGGGAAACCCUGAUGCAGCGACGCCGCGUGAGUGAAGAAGUACUUCGUUAUGUAAAGCUCUAUCAGCAGGGAAGAAAAUGACGGUACCUGAGUAAGAAGCCCCGGCUAACUACGUGCCAGCAGCCGAGGUAAUACGUAGGGGGCCAGCGUUAUCCGGAUUUACUGGGUGUAAAGGGAGCGUAGACGGCAGUGCAAGUCUGGAGUGAAAGGCGGGGGGUCAACCCCCGGACUGCUCUGGAAACUGUACGGCUGGAGUGCAGGAGAGGUAAGUGGAAUUCCUAGUGUAGCGGUGAAAUGCGUAGAUAUUAGGAGGAACACCAGUGGCGAAGGCGGCUUACUGGACUGUAACUGACGCUGAGGCUCGAAAGCGUGGGGAGCAAACAGGAUUAGAUACCCUUGUAGUC
This 440-nucleotide ribosomal RNA is filed under the name uncultured bacterium. Its description in RNAcentral is "partial 16S ribosomal RNA". It matches the Rfam family "Bacterial small subunit ribosomal RNA", at positions 338 to 795 of the family's 1533-position model. The record is from RNAcentral.